AUUGAACGCUGGCGGCAUGCUUUACACAUGCAAGUCGAGCGGCAGCGCGGGGGCAACCCUGGCGGCGAGCGACGAACGGGUGAGUAAUGCAUCGGAACGUAUCCUCGCGUGGGGGAUAACCCAGCGAAAGUUGGGCUAAUACCGCAUGAGCUCUGAGGAGGAAAGCGGGGGACCUGCGAGGGCCUCGCGCUGGAGGAGCGGCCGAUGUCCGAUUAGCUAGUUGGUGGGGUAAAGGCUUACCAAGGCGACGAUCGGUAGCUGGUCUGAGAGGAUGAUCAGCCACACUGGAACUGAGACACGGCCCAGACUCCUACGGGAGGCAGCAGUGGGGAAUUUUGGACAAUGGGGGCAAGCCUGAUGCAGCCAUGCCGCGUGAGUGAAGAAGGCCUUCGGGUUGUAAAGCUCUGUCGGACGGGACGAAAUGGGCGGGACUAAUACUCCUGUCUGAUGACGGUACCGUAAGAAGAAGCACCGGCUAACUACGUG
Molecule: ribosomal RNA, 486 nt
Filed under: uncultured bacterium
Lineage: Bacteria
Description: partial 16S ribosomal RNA
Rfam family: Bacterial small subunit ribosomal RNA
Source: RNAcentral